AGAGGAGGAGAUCAGGUCAACACAGACAUCUACUGCAAGAGAGGAGGAGAUCAGGUCAACACAGACAUCUACUGCAAGAGAGGAGGAGAUCAGGUCAACACAGACAUCUCCUGCAAGAGAGGAGGAGAUCAGGUCAACACAGACAUCUACUGCAAGAGAGGAGGAGAUCAGGUCAACACAGACAUCUCCUGCAAGAGAGGAGGAGAUCAGGUCAACACAGACAUCUACUGCAAGAGAGGAGGAGAUCAGGUCAACACAGACAUCUCCUGCAAGAGAGGAGGAGAUCAGGUCAACACAGACAUCUACUGCAAGAGAGGAGGAGAUCAGGUCAACACAGACAUCUACUGCAAGAGAGGAGGAGAUCAGGUCAACACAGACAUCUACUGCAAGAGAGGAGGAGAUCAGGUCAACACAGACAUCUCCUGCAAGAGUCAGGAGGGUGAGAUCAGGUCAACACAGACAUCUCCUGCAAGAGAGGAGGAGAUCAGGUCAACACAGACAUCUCCUGCAAGAGUCAGGAGGGUGAGAUCAGGUCAACACAGACAUCUCCUGCAAGAGAAGAGGAGAUCAGGUCAACACAGACAUCUCCUGCAAGAGAAGAGGGGAUCAGGUCAACACAGACAUCU
Long non-coding RNA from Oncorhynchus keta (chum salmon), 626 nucleotides. RefSeq lists it as uncharacterized. The record is from RefSeq and is a predicted model, not a curated record. The transcript is spliced from 5 exons. NCBI's taxonomy places the organism in Eukaryota, Metazoa, Chordata, Actinopteri, Salmoniformes, Salmonidae.